ACUACAGGAGGCAGCAGUGAGGAAUAUUGGUCAAUGGGCGGAAGCCUGAACCAGCCAAGUAGCGUGCAGGAUGACGGCCCUACGGGUUGUAAACUGCUUUUAUACGGGAAUAACGCGCCUUACGUGUAGGGCUUUGCAUGUACCGUAUGAAUAAGGACCGGCUAAUUCCGGUCCAGCAGCCGCGGGAAUCCGGAAGGUCUGGGCGUUAUCCGGAUUUGUUGGGGUUAACGGGAGCGUAGGCCGCAUGUCAAGCGUGCUGUGAAAGGUCCGGGCUCAACCCGGGCCUUGCAGCGCGAACUGGCGGGCUUGAGUCCGCGGAAAGCAGGCGGAAUUCGUCGUGUAGCGGUGAAAUGCUUAGAUAUGACGAAGAACCCCGAUUGCGAAGGCAGCUUGCUGCAGCGGAACUGACGCUGAUGCUCGAAAGCGCGGGUAUCGAACAGGAUUAGAUACCCCUGUAGUC
Molecule: ribosomal RNA, 460 nt
Filed under: uncultured bacterium
Lineage: Bacteria
Description: partial 16S ribosomal RNA
Rfam family: Bacterial small subunit ribosomal RNA
Source: RNAcentral